UUAUCCAUUGUAUCUAGACUUAUUGACGCAGAACCAAAAAUGAUAGAUUGUGAUUCUAAUCCUGGGUAAGACAUGACCUAAAAGCCCAUGCACUUCUCAAUAUUCCAGGUUCAUGUUGAAAGGCUGUAUGUAAUCAAUGAGCUACACUAUGUAUCAAAUUGGUAGUUUGCAUGCCCCAAUUAUUGAGGGCACUUUACAUAUGCACUAUCAUGCUUUGGAAAGUAUACUAUUGGAGGCUCAUUUUUUAGGCACCUGGAAUGAAACCCUAUAUCCUCACUGAAGUGUUUUGAAGUUUAUUACGAAGGGAGCGUAAUGCCUGUUUAUCAUCACAUUUAUCUCUAAUUUCUUCAUUUAUAAACAGCAGAUCUCUUUGCAUGUGUCAAGAUACACUCUUAUGUGAAGCAAUUUACUGAAUGCUUCUUGCUUUUUGCCUUGUACCCAUUGUUCUCUCUGACAACGUUUUUCUGUCCUUUUAGUAUUUGUGUGAGUGUUAUGCACGAGUCUACAGUGUGAUUUCCAACAUUCUUUGUGAUAAAAGAUGUCGAGAGCAGCAGCUUUAAGUAUUACCUCCAUUACUAUUGCAAUAAAUUGCUAAGGCUUCCAACAACGUUUUUUUCAGCUCAUCUUUAACAAGAGGAAUAGCCUCUACAAAUGUCACCCUAGAAUAUUUCUGGAAGUCUUUCCUUUCAAUUCCUUUUGACAGACAACACAGGAAAACUCUGAAGCUUUACAAGAUAUAUGACUGCUCCUAAAAUUUGAAGAUAGUUUCUUCAGUGCUCUCAGUAUCCUGCGGCUCAUCUGUUCUACAUUUGUUCUAAAAGAGUGGUAAAGGGAUGGCUUAUGUUUUGACUUGGAAUGUGGACAGCUACUGCAAGGAAAUGGAGUUUGGAAUCGUUUAUGCCUAGGAGACUUGUGUUCCAUCCUUUUCAUAAGUUUAGGCCAAGGAGAUGUUUUCCAUCCACAUUUUUAUAGGUCUAAUUCUAGGAGACUUGCUCCAUGUCUGUUUUGAGAGUGCUGCCAUACAGCCUGGAGGGAAGUUGGAGAACUUUUACUCUGAAUUGAUGGAGACAGACAAAGCGAAGGAUGCAACAGGGACAGGCACGAGACUCAGCAUCUACAAAGGACUUGCAUAUAGGACUACAGUUUGAAAAGCAUGCUAGUAACAACUAAUGAUAUAGUUCAUUUAUAGGACUAGCUCCUAUUGUAUGAUAAACCUUCAUCUUAGGGUUUUUUAAAGUACUACUAACUUUGAGUCUGUUUAGAAAUACGUAUAUAGGAUAACUUUGAGUGUUUAAAAAUAUAUGGAUAUCAGGAAAUUAAAUCAGUUAGUUCAUUUAAGAACAACUGUCAAAAUGGGAAAAUGGGUAAAAAAAAGUAUUAAGGUAAUAUUUUAUAUAGGGAUUUUAUUGCCACAAAUGUUUACAAGCAAGCCAGCCUCACACCAGAAAAAAA
Macrobrachium nipponense is the source of this 1452-nucleotide long non-coding RNA. RefSeq lists it as uncharacterized. NCBI's taxonomy places the organism in Eukaryota, Metazoa, Arthropoda, Malacostraca, Decapoda, Palaemonidae. The record is from RefSeq and is a predicted model, not a curated record. The transcript is spliced from 3 exons.